AACGAGCGCUGGCGGCAUGCCUAACACAUGCAAGUCGAACGAGACCUUCGGGUCUAGUGGCGCACGGGUGCGUAACGCGUGGGAACCUGCCCUUAGGUUCGGAAUAACUCCCCUAAAGGGGUGCUAAUACCGGAUAAUGUCUUCGGACCAAAGAUUUAUCGCCUUUGGAUGGGCCCGCGUUGGAUUAGCUAGUUGGUAGGGUAAAAGCCUACCAAGGCGACGAUCCAUAGCUGGUCUGAGAGGAUGAUCAGCCACACUGGGACUGAGACACGGCCCAGACUCCUACGGGAGGCAGCAGUGGGGAAUAUUGGACAAUGGGCGAAAGCCUGAUCCAGCAAUGCCGCGUGAGUGAUGAAGGCCUUAGGGUUGUAAAGCUCUUUUACCCGGGAUGAUAAUGACAGUACCGGGAGAAUAAGCUCCGGCUAACUCCGUG
Molecule: ribosomal RNA, 433 nt
Filed under: uncultured bacterium
Lineage: Bacteria
Description: partial 16S ribosomal RNA
Rfam family: Bacterial small subunit ribosomal RNA
Source: RNAcentral